UUUUUUUUUUUUCCCUUUCCAGUUAAGAGGUGUUUUACCUUUUUUGGUACCCUGAAAAUCCAUAAUUAUUAUUUUGGAUUGAUUAAUCAGUUGCAACACCGCCCGCUAAUUUUAUUUUUAAUUUUCCUUCUUCUUUCAUAAAUCUUAAUUAUCUCCACCAUAACGCAAGAUCAGGUUUUGCAAAAUCUCCCAAGUAAUACCU
This 202-nucleotide unclassified non-coding RNA is filed under the name Hevea brasiliensis (rubber tree). The record is from RNAcentral. Lineage: Eukaryota; Viridiplantae; Streptophyta; Magnoliopsida; Malpighiales; Euphorbiaceae.